This is a long non-coding RNA of Corylus avellana, 401 nucleotides long. RefSeq lists it as uncharacterized. The record is from RefSeq and is a predicted model, not a curated record. Lineage: Eukaryota; Viridiplantae; Streptophyta; Magnoliopsida; Fagales; Betulaceae.
UAAAAUUCUCUCUCUUUCGAAGGUCUAUAUAAAGAGGCCUACACUGUAUGCAUGUUUAGUUCAUUUCCAUCUACUACAUUGCAAGCUUGUGCAUAUUUCAAAAGAGAAAGACAGCGAUGCCUCCGCCUUGGGGACCGCCACCGGGGCCUCCAGGCCCGCCCGGCCCAUUUGGUUGCCUUGAUUUCCUCUGUGGUGGUCUAUGCCGCCUUGUAUCAUCCUGUUUAUAUGUGCUGUGCUGCUGCUGCAUCCUAGAGAGCUGCUGUGGACCGAUGUUUGGUGGGCCUGGUGGCCCGGGUGGCCCGGGUGGGCCACCCCGGUUCUGAUCAUCCGCUAACUUCCGAAACAUGGUGUAAUUUUUAUGAGAGAAAACAGAAAUAAAAAAAGCUUGUUAUGUGAUUUUA